UACAGAGGUCUCAAGCGUUGUUCGGAUUCAUUGGGCGUAAAGAGCGUGUAGGCGGUCCGGUAAGUCCGCUGUGAAAGUCGGGGGCUCAACCCUCGAAUGCCGGUGGAUACUGUCGGGCUAGAGUGCGGAAGAGGCGAGUGGAAUUCCUGGUGUAGCGGUGAAAUGCGCAGAUAUCAGGAGGAACACCAAUUGCGAAGGCAGCUCGCUGGGACGUAACUGACGCUGAGACGCGAAAGCGUGGGGAGCAAACAGG
Molecule: ribosomal RNA, 253 nt
Filed under: uncultured bacterium
Lineage: Bacteria
Description: partial 16S ribosomal RNA
Rfam family: Bacterial small subunit ribosomal RNA
Source: RNAcentral